AGCAGUGUGCUGGAGCUCAUUAUAAGCCUCAGCUGGAAGGAGUUUCUGCAAAUUCUGCAACCCAGCGGCACACGGGUGGACAAGAUGUUCCACAGCAGAAUAAUGCCACAGUGGCAAGAAUUUUUCCAGGACAAUUUGGGAAAAAACUGGGGCGGAAAAAAAUGACUUGGAAAAAGGGACCACAUUCUAAUUCCAACUUAAAAAGAAGGUUCAAUACUGUCAAAUAUACAGAGACAACACCAAAAGCUGCAGAAGAACUAACUAUUCUACAGACACGGAUGGGUUGCAGAACCAUCAGUAUCACAGAGGGUGCCAUACAUUCAUGGUCAUGCUGUGAAAUGGCCGAUUUGAAAGGAGCGUGGAUGUGGUCCAAGGAUGGUGG
Molecule: long non-coding RNA, 382 nt
Organism: Labeo rohita (rohu)
Lineage: Eukaryota; Metazoa; Chordata; Actinopteri; Cypriniformes; Cyprinidae
Exons: 4
Source: RefSeq, a predicted model, not a curated record